GAUGAACGCUGGCGGCGUGCCUAAUACAUGCAAGUCGAGCGAACGGACGAGAAGCUUGCUUCUCUGAUGUUAGCGGCGGACGGGUGAGUAACACGUGGAUAACCUACCUAUAAGACUGGGAUAACUUCGGGAAACCGGAGCUAAUACCGGAUAAUAUUUUGAACCGCAUGGUUCAAAAGUGAAAGACGGUCUUGCUGUCACUUAUAGAUGGAUCCGCGCUGCAUUAGCUAGUUGGUAAGGUAACGGCUUACCAAGGCAACGAUGCAUAGCCGACCUGAGAGGGUGAUCGGCCACGCUGGAACUGAGACACGGUCCAGACUCCUACGGGAGGCAGCAGUAGGGAAUCUUCCGCAAUGGGCGAAAGCCUGACGGAGCAACGCCGCGUGAGUGAUGAAGGUCCUCGGAUCGUAAAACUCUGUUAUUAGGGAAGAACAUAUGUGUAAGUAACUGUGCACAUCUUGACGGUACCUAAUCAGAAAGCCACGGCUAACUACGUG
Molecule: ribosomal RNA, 497 nt
Filed under: uncultured bacterium
Lineage: Bacteria
Description: partial 16S ribosomal RNA
Rfam family: Bacterial small subunit ribosomal RNA
Source: RNAcentral